CGUGUAGGCGGGCAAUCAAGUCAGAUGUAAAAGGCGACGGCUUAACCGUAGUAUGUCAUCUGAUACUGGUUGUCUUGAGUUCGAGAGAGGGUGGUGGAAUUCCCGGUGUAGCGGUGAAAUGCGUAGAUAUCGGGAAGAACACCUGAAGCGAAGGCGGCCACCUGGAUCGACACUGACGCUGAGGCGCGAAAGCGUGGGUAGCAAACA
RNAcentral lists this ribosomal RNA (207 nucleotides) under uncultured bacterium. Its description in RNAcentral is "partial 16S ribosomal RNA". It matches the Rfam family "Bacterial small subunit ribosomal RNA", at positions 568 to 774 of the family's 1533-position model. The record is from RNAcentral.